Molecule: ribosomal RNA, 473 nt
Filed under: uncultured bacterium
Lineage: Bacteria
Description: bacterial SSU rRNA
Rfam family: Bacterial small subunit ribosomal RNA
Source: RNAcentral
GACGAACGCUGGCGGCGUGCCUAACACAUGCAAGUCAGCUUGACUGAAGGAGCAAUCUGACAGUAGAGUGGCGCAAGGGUGCGUAACGCGUAAGUAACUUGCCCCAAGGUAAGGAAUAACGUCGAGAAAUCGGCGCUAAUACCUCAUAAUGCAGCGGAUCCGCAUGGAUAUGUUGUUAAAGGUUUACCGCCUUGGGAUAGGCUUGCGUCUGAUUAGUUAGUUGGUGUGGUAACGGCACACCAAGGCUACGAUCAGUAACUGGUCUGAGAGGAUGAUCAGUCACACUGGAACUGAGACACGGUCCAGACUCCUACGGGAGGCAGCAGUGAGGAAUAUUGGGCAAUGCUCGAAAGAGUGACCCAGCAACGCCGCGUGGAGGAUGAAGGUAUUCUAUAUCGUAAACUCCUGUGAGAGCAGACGAAAGACAGAUUAUUAAUCUGGAUGACUGUAUGCUCAGAGGAAGCCCCGGCUAA